RNAcentral lists this unclassified non-coding RNA (4295 nucleotides) under Leishmania donovani. Its description in RNAcentral is "gene:LdHU3.28.1980(CDS-product:DNA_polymerase_kap pa_putative)". The record is from RNAcentral. Lineage: Eukaryota; Euglenozoa; Kinetoplastea; Trypanosomatida; Trypanosomatidae.
CCGUGACGUCCUCCUGACCAUCUCGAGGGCCCUUCCUACCGUCCCAGCCCCCCUCCAUCGCGCGCGUACACCUGCAUUCUUCCGGCCGCUACGCCCCCGCCGUCUCCCCUUCCUCGCGUGCAGGGUGGCUCCUUCCGGUUGCGUUUGUUGUAUUCUACUUCGGCUCCCCACCCCACCCUCACCCUUCCUUCAUCGAUAGAGACAGCAGAGGUGCUGCCUACCCGGCCCCGCCCUCCCUCGUCGCAGUCGCUUAGACGUACGUAGAGCUAAACAGCGAGUUCCUCUUCUCUCCCACUUCGUUGUGGCCGCGCCUUCUUUUGUACGGGCGCGUGUCUGUCUGUUGGUGUGUGUGUGUGUGUGUGUGUGUGUUCGCGUUGCUCUGGUGUCUUCCCUCCCCCUCCUCCUUUGUGCUGCGGGUAUUUGCCUGCCCCGCGUGCGCUUGUGAAGAUCCGUUGUGGCGGCGACCGGCGAGGCACGCAUCCAUCUUUUCCUCCCCCUCUCUCGUGCCUUUUCCCUUCGCCGGCCCACCAUGCUUCGGCUCUCUCGGUUUGUCUCCUCCGCCGUGAGCUCAAAGGGUCUUGCGCGGGUGAGCAAGCAGACCGUGAGGCGAGAUAAUCACCCUACUGCCGUGAAGAAACCGUCAGUGGCCACGACAGCGGGCGCGGUGGCGCCAUUCGCGGCCGCGCACGUAGGCUCCAGCAUGUCACCUGCCCCGCGAGGUCGCUACAGCGACUCGCACGCGGGGGAGAUCGAGGCGGACUGCGCCGUCCUCGAAGAUCACGGUCGCGGCGCUCCGCAGGAUUCGCAUAAUCCGCAGAACCACGCCGGCAUGAACGGUGCACAGCACUGUGACCACCGCAGCGCUGGCAAACUCAACUUUGAUGCCUCGAAGGCAGGGCUUCAGCAGGUGGAUAAAGACUACGUCGAGCACGUCAUUCAGGAGGCGUCGAAGGGGUCUGCUUUCUACCAAAAGGAGCAGCGGCUCGAGGAGACGCGGCGUCGCAAAGCCGAGGAGCUUCAGGAGAAGGCCAAGACAUUCGACUCCAUCAGCGCCGCAGAGAAGCAGCGGAUCAAGGCCAUGGUAGACGCCAUGGUGGACGAGCUCGAGGCGACGCGCGAUCUCCGGCGCCGGUACAUCCACAUCGACAUGGACAUGUUCUACGCUGCGGUGGAGGAGAAGAAGACGCCGUCGCUGAGAGGCAAGCCCUUCGGCGUCGGCUCUCAGCAGAUGCUCUCCACGACAAACUACAUUGCGCGGCAGUACGGUGUGCGCUCUGGCAUGCCCGGCUUCAUCGGCAAGAAGCUCUGCCCCGAGCUCAUUAUCGUGCCGAACGACUUCCCAGCCUACCAGCGAGAGGCGGCGCGGGUGCACAGCAUCGCCUCCCGCUACGAUGCGCAAUUCGUCAGCGUCGGCCUCGAUGAGCUGACGAUGGACGUGACAAAGUACCUGCAGGAGUUCCCGGCCGUGUCAGCCUCCGACAUCGCCCACGACUUCCGCGACGAGGUGUUCCUCAAGACACAGCUCACAAGCAGCGGCGGCAUCGGACCCACGUCAAUUCUCGCGAAGAUUGCCAGCAACGUCAACAAGCCGAAUGGUCAGCAUGAGAUCACGCUGCUGACGCGAGAGGAAGUUAUCAAUUACGUGCGCGACAUUCCGCUGCGCAAGAUCCCCGGCAUCGGCUACGCGCAAGAGAUGACACUCGGUGCGCUGCACAUCCACACCUGCGGCGGCCUCCUGGAGCACAAGUACCUCCUAGCCUACCUGUUCCGAGAAAAGACCCUGGCGCACUACCUCAGCGUUGGACUGGGGCUGGCAGAGACGUUCUCGCUGCGCAAGCAUCAGGCACGGCAGUCGGUUGGUAAGGAAACGUCGUUUAGCGAGCCACUGCCCUCGCCAGAGGCCUUCACUCGACUCUUCCGCAAGCUUCUUGAGCAGUGCCAUGUCCGCUGCGUUCGCGAUCACCUGCAGCCUCGCAAGAUGACACUGGUUCUCAAGUAUCGCACCUAUGACACGGAGCAGUUCAGUGUGACGCUCCCGAGCCACACGAACGACCUCAAGGUGUGGCUUGAGGCCUCGCAGAAGCUGCUGGAGCCGCAUCUUCUGCACUACGCCGAGUUCCGCCUGAUCGGUGUCCGCCUGCAGCGCUUCACAGACACCGAUGAUGACCACGCUGGCCUCAACAGCACCCGCGAUGCCUUGACCGGCGCCUUGACAGAACCGCUUCAAGUGAAUGACGACUUAGACAUGGAUGCCGACGAUGCCGACCGUGACGCUGAGAAGAGCGGGGUAGCUGCGGAGCAGUCGGACCCGUGUGGAGAGUCGCCGGUGCAGCCUUCAGCAACGUACAAGCGCAAGAUUCCCGUCUCGAAGUUCCUGACAGAUCCAAACAUCCCGAAAGCCCGCCCUGCGGAGCCCACUGCGGUGCCCGCCAAAGCCGUCAAGCCGGCGCGCAGGCGCACGAAGCCGUCGAAGGGAAAGCUGCACAAAAAGAAGUGAGCAGGGGUGCGAGCAAAGCAGUCGGAGGAGACGGGACGAAAAUGGCGAUUACUGCGGAACGGUAGGUGUAUCGCGCAGGAUGGGCGCUGGGCAUUUUCGGGGACGGGGAUCAGAACCGGCCGUCGUCGCCACAUAGCGUCCGUCUUUCCAAGGAAAAACAAAUGUCAUACCGUUUUUACCUAUAGAGAACGAGGGAGAGCAGCGUACGUGGCACAGAGAACAACAACACUCCUCCUCCCCUCCCGAAAAGAGCAAGGGUGGCAAGGGCGCUCCAGCGCUGAUUUCCGUGUAUAGAUUCUUUCGGAGAGUUAUCCGUGGUGCGUCGGAGACGCGGUGACGUGUGCUCGGAACAACAUAGCAAAAGAGGAGGAGAAAUGUUGUGUGGUCGGAGGGAGAGGGUGGAAGGCAAGGAGACGAGCAGGCUGCAAAAAGAGCUGAGAUGGUCGUCGAAAUGGAUCGCAGCACCCAUCUCUCGCCUACGCGGUCUUCCCUCCCUCCCCCCCCCCUGCCCUGCUGCCGGUUCGUCUAUCCACACAACGGCGACUCAAUAGUGUGCGCAAAAUAUCAUGCACCAGUGAGGUACACUCUCGCGACUUUACAUAGACAUAUAUACAAGUGGGAUGGCCGUCCGGGGUUGUUUAGUUGUUGUUUCUUUACGCUUACGGAAGCGCAGGUGCGUCUUGUCUGAUCCCCUUCGCCUCUUUUUUGUGUGUUUGUAGGGGGGGGGGCUCUUUGCUCCUCGUGUGUUGAUCGUCCCUGUGGGCGUUGUUUGGUGGAAGUAUGAGGGUGCGUGUGUUUCGUGUUCCAGUGGAGGGGCUGGUGGACGGUAGAGAAAAAAAAGGGAUAUUGUUCGCCGCCCUCUCUCUCGCCUCCCCUUCAUCUCCCCCUUCUUCCUCCCCACCGUGUGUGGGGGGGGGGGGGGUCCUCUGCGCGCAGACACGCCAUUUUGGUCUAUUCCUUUUAUAUUGCUGUUUUAGCUGAGCGAUGGGGCGUGGUCUCUGCGGACGCGGGUCCGCACAUGACUGCAUUGAACCUGUCGAGUAGAAAGGGGCACCCGCAUUCGGCCCUCUCCUUCCCCACCUCAGUACGCGGCAGGGGAGUAGGGGGGGGGGCCAAUGCCGGUGCCCGAGAGCUUGAGCACGGGGUAGAUGCCUUCCCCCCUCCCCGUGUAUUCCUUUUGCUACCUUGUUUAUCUACAGGUGCCUUGGUGUAGGCUGAUGGAGAGGGAACGGAUUUGCUUCGAGCGUGUCAAGCGUGCACGUCAGCGCAUCGCCCUCGUGUGUCUGUGUCAAUGUUGCGUGUGCGUGUUCCUGCGGGUUGCUGUAAAAAAAGGACGAGGAAUCGACUUAGCAGCAUGGCCCGUCUUUAUCUCCCCUAGAGUUGAUGGACGCGUGAACUCGGAUAGUUUCGAUGUCGUCGCUCCUCCCUCCCCACUUGGCUACUAUUUAGGGCGUUGAUUCGAGUCGACCUUUGAUGUCCCUUCAGAGAGCGACCGUCCGCUCCUGUCAACCCGUUGGUGCAGCGAACGCACUUGAGAGAGGCUCACUCCCCUCCAUCCCUCUCUGUGUGCUUUGGCUCACAGAGGUGAGCAAGUGAGAGGAGCGUGGUCGCUCACGUCCUCCGACCCCUAUUCUUCCUCCACCACCCACCAUCACGACCGCUGCGCUGCUUUUGCGACGACGAUGCGAACUGCAGCGGCUGCGGCUCCCUGUGCAUGCACCUCUACCACCACCCCUCCAUCUUGUCGGCUUCUCACACAUCACCCUGCAACUGUUUUGUGCACGCAUACGCACGCCAG